UACAGAGACGGCAAGCGUUGCUCGGAUUCAUUGGGCGUAAAGGGUCCGCAGGCGGUCGGGUAAGUCGGAUGUGAAAUCCCGUGGCUUAACCACGGAAAGUCAUUCGAAACUGCUCGGCUUGAGGGUUGGAGAGGAGACUGGAAUUGUCGGUGUAGCGGUGAAAUGCGUAGAGAUCGACAAGAACACCGGUGGCGAAGGCGAGUCUCUAGACAACUCCUGACGCUCAGGGACGAAAGCCAGGGGAGCAAACGGG
RNAcentral lists this ribosomal RNA (253 nucleotides) under uncultured bacterium. Its description in RNAcentral is "partial 16S ribosomal RNA". It matches the Rfam family "Bacterial small subunit ribosomal RNA", at positions 524 to 776 of the family's 1533-position model. The record is from RNAcentral.